UCUGGUGACUAUAGCAGGAGGGUCACACCUGUUCCCAUACCGAACACAGCAGUUAAGCCUCCUAACGCCUAUGGUACUUGAGUGGUAACGCUCUGGGAGAGUAGGAAGUUGCCAGAU
RNAcentral lists this ribosomal RNA (117 nucleotides) under Clostridium cochlearium. The record is from RNAcentral. RNAcentral also lists the same sequence under 1 other name. Lineage: Bacteria; Bacillati; Bacillota; Clostridia; Eubacteriales; Clostridiaceae.